Molecule: long non-coding RNA, 1199 nt
Filed under: Chloebia gouldiae (Gouldian finch)
Lineage: Eukaryota; Metazoa; Chordata; Aves; Passeriformes; Passeridae
Description: Erythrura gouldiae (Gouldian finch) lncRNA (ENSEGOG00005006734.1)
Source: RNAcentral
GGGUUGAGAGCAGGCAAAGUGGUGGGGAUUGCAGAGGAGUCUUAUGAAAUCAGAUGCGAUUUUAGAUGUCUGAAAGACUUUCUUUAGGCUAAAGGCAGCUGAAGAUCAAUUGCACUGUUGGCAAAUGUGCUUCCAGCUGGUUGGAGCCUCUCUUGAGGGACAGUUUCAACCCAGGGCCCAUUGCAAUGAUAGUACAGGAAAGGGCUUUCAUUUGCUUUUGGUCUAAAGACCUUCUGCUGCCCAGUUCCACCAGUGAGAAGAGAAACUGGAGAUGAUGUGGGAGAGUGACAACAGCAUUAUAACUGCUGAUAUGAAGAAAAGAUGGAAACAGUCUCCUGAGGGUCAAGGUGAGACUGACCAACACCAGAUUGCUGGUAUUCACCAGCAGCAGUAAAUCCCUGAUCACAGGUGCUGGAAGUCUCUUCAGAGAAACAAUAUUGCUGCAGGGGACAAACAACUAGUCCUGACCUUCUUUACACAGCCAUUCUCUGGGAAAAAUUAUCCCCCGAAGUCAAUGUGGAUUCUGCCUAGCUUUCAUCAGAAGAAAAAUGCCUGGAUUGAAAAGACAACAACAAAUAAUAGGUGUUGGUGAUUUGCACUCUCUCCACCUAAAUCAGAUAUCUGGCACAUCAAUACUUAGAAGGCUUAGGAGAAGAAGAAAACAUCAAUAUUUCACUGUACACAAAAAGUUGCACAACUCCCCAGAUUUUAUUUUAAUGUCAGCUGCGGUUAUUUCAUAGUUUUGGGGGUUUUUUUGGUUUUUUUUUUGGUUUUUUUUUUUUUUGCAAGAUGAAUGAUUUCCACUUCUUUUUGAAUCCUACCUGUGCAAAUAGCUUGUUUUUCUCCCUAGCAAGUGUUAGCAAGGGACUGCGAGGGUUUUGCUCAGGCUCAGUAGUCAGGCAGUCCUAGGGUGCCUGACUUCUAGGAAAAGCCACAGCAGGAACAAACGAGAGCCAGCCGACGCACCAGGCACAGCUUUUGCUGGUCCUCAGCCUAUGUUCCAGCUCACACUCGUGGUAAAUGAAUCUCCGUUAGCAGCUGCAGCACAGACCAACGCCAGGAGGACAGAUCCAGACGAGCUGGAAGCUUCCUCAUGGAGCUGUCCCUAGAAAUGAUGGCCCAUUAUAAGGCAGCUUCACCCUCCUCAGCAGAGCCCACGGCAAUUUAGGACUUGCUCUGCUCUAGUCCAUGCAAUUUCA